ACUUCAUUGCUAUUUGAUUGAUUACUUUUUGAAAUUCAAUUAUUGUUUUGUUGAAUCCUUCAAUACCAAAAGAUUUAAAAAUACGAUCGUUCAUUUACACGCGCAGUUACCCUAGAUAAUUUAGUAUUAAACAAAUGACUAUUCACAAAUAUAUAUCAUUUACAUCAUAGAAGUAAUCGCUCAAACUUAUAUGAAAUCAGAAAUUUCUGAAUUUUUUUUUCCCACCGCCAUAUUCAUAUAUUAAGUUCUAUAUAUAUAUAAAACUCAAUAAGCAAAAAAAUUUAUCUCAAGUGUCAAAGACUAUUAUAAUUUUUAAAAGAUCGUUGAUACAAAAAAUAUAAAUUGAAGAUUUAACAACAGCCAGUUGUUUAAAAUUUUAUUAUCAACAACAAUGAGUUCAAAUUGUUUAAGUGAAGAUGACGGGAAAAAAUAUUAUUAUAAUUCUGUAGCUGGUUUAGCUAAACCUGACCAUAGUACUGUGAUUGGAAUGGAUGAUGAUCUUAAACAAAAACUUGACGAUCAAUUUAGUUAUCCACGACGGAUAAAUUUACUAAAUUCGAAUGUGUACAUCGGAGCACCACCACAAGAGGUUUCAAACUUUUUAACAACUCUCGGUUUCAGACUAUUAAAAACAAAGACAUAAAUUCAUGGAUAGUGCGAUUUUAGCAAAAGAAAUUCAAUGAAUACAAUUUUUUUACAAUGAUCCUAAAAGUUAGCCUACAUUUAAUAAUUUUUUUUUUUUUUAAAUGAUAAAUUUAUAUAAAAAAAAAAAAAAACGAUCCUGAAGGUAGCAGACAAUUACAAAUUUUCGGAUUUUUUUUCAACAAAUAAAUUACAAAAAAAAUAAAAAUAUGCACAUGUAGAAAAUUUAAUAAACUAUAAGUGCCAUUUCUCAAAAUAUUUUUGUUUUUGUUAAUCGUUUUUAAGAAAAUCCAAAAACUGUCUGACGUCUGCUAACUUGAGUAGCAAAAAAAAGAUUUAAGAAAAUUUCACGUAUAGUUUUUUUAAAUUUCUACGUGUGCAUAUUUUUUGUUUAAUUUUUUUUUUAAUCAAUUCGUUGAAAAAGAAAUCCAAAAAUUCUGUAUCGUCUGUUAAGUUCAAUAUCGUAUACUUUUAUCACACCGUUAUACUGUAAUUUUUUCCUUAUACUUUUUGAUAACUUAAUUAUCAAUAAAUAGAGCAGCGACCACGAAUGGUACUUCUACCCUACAUUAAUUGCCAAUUGAUAAAAUUAAAAAAAAAUACUCAGCGGAAGACUUACUUGUCUU
Molecule: long non-coding RNA, 1268 nt
Organism: Microplitis mediator
Lineage: Eukaryota; Metazoa; Arthropoda; Insecta; Hymenoptera; Braconidae
Exons: 3
Source: RefSeq, a predicted model, not a curated record